AAAGUUUGUGAAAAUUUAAACGGUAAAAAUUGGUUGGUUCAACGAUAACAAUGAGUUUGAUUCUGUCCGUUUAGAGCAAUUAACAAUUAACUACUAUGAUUAACUUUAUACACUUUGAUUAACCUGUAAAACCAUCAAUCCAUGAUGGUUAAAACUAUGGUCUUGAUUUGGUUUAGCCUCUUAAUUGUUGUUGACACUAAUUACUGGUCAUUCUUUUAUUUUCAAUCUGAAAAUUGUAAUAAUAACAAUUUAAUUUAAUUGGUCAGCAAGUAGGAAACCUAAAUAGUAACUAAAUUAACCAGAAAAAAUGGGCAGUUUGGAAAUCAACUGACCCAUCCUUCCUUGUUUUUAAUUGUCCAAUUAAAUUUGAUUCACAAUUUUCAUAUAAAUACAAAUUCAACAAACGUUGUAACGGUUUCUUUAACUUUCCACCUUUCACCAACAACAAUCAAUUUUAAUUGUAACAGAAGCAAAGUUUCACCAACAAUUAGGAUUGUGAUCUAGUGAUCAACCAUCACAGAGUUUUUUUUGUUUCCGUUUUUUCAUAAGAUGCGUUUCCUGUUGAGAUUAUUGUCAAUUUUUGCUGUUAUUUCAUUCAUCUCAGCAGCAACUGGUUGGGGUUGGUAUCCUUGGCUUUAUCCUGGACAUUAUCCUUAUUAUUUUGGUUAUCCUCAUUAUUAUGGUGGCAGCUACGGAACAGGUUACGGGAUUUGGGGAGGAUACGUUGGUUGAUUUGAUUGCUAAUUGAUGUGAUUUCUUGUUAAUUGUCAACUCGAUGGUGAUGAUUAAAUUGAUUUCAUGGAACAACGUUAAGUUAACAAAAACAUCAUGGAAAAUUGUAUGACGAUCAUGAUGCAAAUGAAGAUCACUUUUCCUCCUUCAAUGUUGAUAUCAGGACGAUCACUUUGUUUCCAAUUAGCCUCUUUGGGUUUCCAAUUAAAUUUGAUUGUUUCAUUUGUUUCGCCGUCGCUUCUUGUUAAUCAUACGCAAUAAAUUGAUCACUUAAUUUGUUUC
Panonychus citri (citrus red mite) is the source of this 1014-nucleotide long non-coding RNA. RefSeq lists it as uncharacterized. The record is from RefSeq and is a predicted model, not a curated record. The transcript has 3 exons. NCBI's taxonomy places the organism in Eukaryota, Metazoa, Arthropoda, Arachnida, Trombidiformes, Tetranychidae.